RNAcentral lists this transfer RNA (70 nucleotides) under Cajanus cajan (pigeon pea). RNAcentral's name for it is "tRNA gene-KK1_030649". Lineage: Eukaryota; Viridiplantae; Streptophyta; Magnoliopsida; Fabales; Fabaceae. The record is from RNAcentral.
UGUAAAAUUUGGAUCGAACUCGAGGUCUCUUGCAUCCAAAGCGAGAAUCAUACCACUAGACCAAAUGCCC